This 332-nucleotide unclassified non-coding RNA is filed under the name soil metagenome. Its description in RNAcentral is "partial contains 5.8S ribosomal RNA, internal transcribed spacer 2, and large subunit ribosomal RNA". The stretch from base 1 to 120 matches the Rfam family "5.8S ribosomal RNA", at positions 35 to 154 of the family's 154-position model. The record is from RNAcentral.
GAUGAAGAACGUAGCGAAAUGCGAUAAGUAGUGUGAAUUGCAGAAUUCAGUGAAUCAUCGAAUCUUUGAACGCACAUUGCGCCCUUUGGUAUUCCUUAGGGCAUGCCUGUUCGAGCGUCAUUUAAACCUUCAAGCUAAGCUUGGUGUUGGGUGACUGUCCGCUUCACUGCGGACUCGCCUCAAAAUUAUUGGCGGACGGUACAUUGGCUUCGAGCGCAGCAGAAACGCGAACUCGGGCCCGUCGUAUUGGCUCCCAGAAGCUAUCUUCACAAUUUUGACCUCGGAUCAGGUAGGGAUACCCGCUGAACUUAAGCAUAUCAAUAAGCGGAGGA